This 98-nucleotide transfer RNA is filed under the name Anopheles dirus. RNAcentral's name for it is "tRNA tRNA-Tyr". It matches the Rfam family "tRNA". From Rfam's summary of the family: Transfer RNA (tRNA) molecules are approximately 80 nucleotides in length. Their secondary structure includes four short double-helical elements and three loops (D, anti-codon, and T loops). The record is from RNAcentral. Lineage: Eukaryota; Metazoa; Arthropoda; Insecta; Diptera; Culicidae.
CCUUCGAUAGCUCAGUUGGUAGAGCGGUGGACUGUAGAUGUGUAACAGCAGCAGUAGUAGUAAUCCAUAGGUCGCUGGUUCAAAUCCGGCUCGAAGGA